UCGUGCUAGACGGGGGGUUGGCGGUCCCCUGUAACCCGAAACCCGCCCACGCGGGGUCGAAAGGGAUACCGAGUGCGGCACGAUGCGGGUCAAGUUUGAAAUCCAAAACGGCGAUGAAAAUCGGGUCCGGUGAGGACCAUCACCGUGAACCCCGCCAGGACCGGAAGGUAGCAACGGUAAACGGAGCGACGGUUCGUCACCGGGGCGCCUGGUUGGAGUCGUUUUGGUUCAAACCCCCUCAUCGUCUGUGCCAGGAUCCUGGCACGA
Molecule: signal recognition particle RNA, 267 nt
Filed under: bacterium
Lineage: Bacteria
Also listed under: 1 other name
Description: signal recognition particle sRNA large type
Rfam family: Bacterial large signal recognition particle RNA
About the family: The signal recognition particle (SRP) is a universally conserved ribonucleoprotein involved in the co-translational targeting of proteins to membranes. Archaeal SRP consists of a 7S RNA and homologues of the eukaryotic SRP19 and SRP54 proteins.
Source: RNAcentral